Long non-coding RNA from Heterocephalus glaber (naked mole-rat), 2599 nucleotides. NCBI's taxonomy places the organism in Eukaryota, Metazoa, Chordata, Mammalia, Rodentia, Bathyergidae. The record is from Ensembl.
AAUAGCUUAUAGCUAGAUUUGAUUUUAUAUUCAUUUAAUAAUUCCUUGAGAGUUUAGUACAUUUAUAUUUAUUGUGAUUGCUAAUAUGCUUGGAUUCAUUUUGAUUAUCUAAUUUUGUGCUCUCCUUUGGUUGAUGGUUUUCUAUUUUGCUGCCCUCUUUUGGAUUGACUUUUUCUUUAUUUUUCUCCUUAGCAAAUCCCACACUGGAUUGGUAGUUAUAUAUUCCAUUUUAUUCUUUUAUAGUUCUUACAGUUUUAAUGUGCAUACUAGACUUAGCAGUCUAAAGCUGACAAUUUUUUCUACCUUCCCUCUGGGCCGUUCAAAAACCUUAGGACACUUUAAUUUAAUGACUACUCCCCCUCUCCUCUUGUUAUUUUUAAGCAUCAAAAAUUUAUUUUGGGGCUGAGGGUCUUAGCUCAGUGAUAGUGUGUUGCCUAGUUUGCAUGAGGCCCUGGGUUCCAUCCCCUGCACCUACUCACAAUUCUGGAUGCUAGAAAUAUAAUAUUAAAGUAUCAGCUAGGGUAAUGUUUCCUACUUAGUGACUUGUAUUUUCAUAUUGUUAUUUGAAGAACAGAACACAUUAAAAAGUUUGUGUGUGUGUGUAUGUGUGUGUGUGUGUGUGUGUGUGGUGCUGGGGAUCAAGCCUAGGGCAUCAUGUGUGCUACAGAAGCACUCUACUCCUGAACUAUGUCCCUGUCCUCUAACUACAUUAAAUUUUAUCAGGGUUAAUUCAUAAAAUUUGCUAUUCCUGAUUGUGAUUUUUUUUUUUUUUUUUGGUACCGGGGAUUGAACUUCAGACCUUGUGCUUGCAAAGCAGGUGGCAGCACCACUGAGCUAAAUCCCUGACCCCUCUUGAUUGUGAUUUUGAUGAAAAAUUUAAGAAAUUUUUGCCAAAUCCAGGAUUACAAAAUUUAUGCCAAUGCUUCUUAUGCUUUUAUUUAGGUAAAUGAUCCUUUUUGAGCUUUUUGUGAUUUGAGUUAGGAAACCAACUUAUCUUUUGCAUUUGGAUAUCCAAUUUUGCCAGUAUCAUUUGUUAAAAAGAUUUUUCUUUCCUUGUUGAAAUGUUUGGUCCCUUUGUCAAAGUCAAUUUACUGUUAAUUUAUGUGUUUAUUUAUGAUCUAUUAUUAUUAAAUCUAUUCCAUUGGUGUAAAUGAGUAUCCUUACACUUACCACCUGCUUUGAUUAGUGUAACUUUGUAGUAAGAAUUUCAGUAAAUUUAAAUAAUAGGCUUUUGUUACUUUUUUAAAGGAUUGUUUUAUGUUUCCUUUGCAUAUAAAUAUAGAUUUUGAAGAUGCUUGUUAGGGAGCUUCGAAUAUAGUUGGGAAUUUGAAGAGACUGCAUUAAAUUUGUAGAUCAAUGUAUGGAGUACUGUGUUCUGACAAUAUUAGAUAUUAUUGUUGUGGACAUUAUCCGUCCCUCCCUUCCUUUCUUCCUUCCUUCCUUCCUUCCUUUUUUUUUUCAGUACUGGGGAUUGAAUCCAAGGCCUUUGGACUGAGCUGUAUCCUCAGCCCUUUUUAUUUUUUAUUUUGAGACUGGGUCUUGCUAAGUCACUGAGUUGCCUGGCUCAAUUCAAACUUUCAAUCUUCCUGCCUCAGCCACUCCAGAGUGCUGGGAUUACAACUAUGUACCACCAAACCUGGCUUUAGUUCUUUCUUUGAUCUCUUUCAGCACUUAAAAAAUUGUUAAUCUUUGUUACAAAUUGACAAAUUAUAGACAUAUGUAGUGUAUAAAGUGAUGUUAUGAUGAAUGAAUAUAAUUAUAUUAAACUAUUAACAUAUUCAUCACUUCAAAUACUUAAGUGAUGUUAGGAUAUUUUAAUUUUGAUGACCUCUUCCCUUCUUUUAUGUACUGUUGCCCAGUAUUGUAGCUUUUAUCUUUUUACCUCCUGGAUUUGUCUUCAUUAUUGUUGUUACUAUUUACUGUUGUUACUUGAUUGAUGCACACUACAGCUUCUUAUAGUCAUUCUUUCCUCCUAAAGUAUAUUCUGAAGUUUUUCAGUAAAUGUUUGUUAGUAGCAAGCUCUAACAAAGAUAUAUUUUACCCUUUUUGUUUGAUAUAUCUUAGCUUACUGGGGAAAUUCUAAGUCAACAUUUAUCUUCUCUCAAUGUUUUAAAGAUAUUUCAUUGUCCUCUAUCUUCUAUUGUUGCUAUUAAGAAGGCUGCUAUAGGGCCGGGGAUUUAGCUCAGUGGUUCUGCCGCCUGCCUCACAAGCGCAAGGAUCUGCAUUCCAUCCCUGAAGAAGAAGAAGAAGAAGAAGAAGAAGAAGAAGAAGAAGAAGAAGAAGAAGAAGAAGAAGAAGAAGAAGAAGAAGAAGAAGAAGAAGGCUGCUAUUAACAGAAAUGUCCUUAUAGCUAAUUUCAUUUCUCUCUGGUUGCUGUUCAGAUCUUGUUUUGGUUUUUUUGUUCUUAAAUUUCACAGUAUCUUUCUAUGUAUGUUCCCUAAAUCUGAGGAUUUAAAACUUUCCUCUGGUUACUGGUUGCAUGGUACAUUUUUUCCCCACUCUUACUUUCAACACAUUUUAUAUUUUGAAUCUAAGGUAUGCCUCUUGUAGACAACCUAUAAUUGAAUCUUGCUUUUUUAUAAAAUCCCAAUCAGUCUCU